Molecule: ribosomal RNA, 393 nt
Filed under: uncultured bacterium
Lineage: Bacteria
Description: partial 16S ribosomal RNA
Rfam family: Bacterial small subunit ribosomal RNA
Source: RNAcentral
AUACGGAGGAUCCGAGCGUUAUCCGGAUUUAUUGGGUUUAAAGGGUGCGCAGGCGGCCAUUUAAGUCAGCUGUGAAAGUUUGGGGCUCAACCUUAAAAUUGCAGUUGAUACUGGUUUCCUUGAGUACGGUACAGGUGGGCGGAAUUCGUGGUGUAGCGGUGAAAUGCUUAGAUAUCACGAAGAACUCCGAUCGCGAAGGCAGCUCACCGGGCCGGAACUGACACUGAUGCUCGAAAGUGCGGGUAUCAAACAGGAUUAGAUACCCUGGUAGUCCGCACAGUAAACGAUGAAUACUCGCUGUUUGCGAUACACUGUAAGCGGCCAAGCGAAAGCGUUAAGUAUUCCACCUGGGGAGUACGCCGGCAACGGUGAAACUCAAAUGAAUUGGCGGGG